Molecule: ribosomal RNA, 254 nt
Filed under: uncultured bacterium
Lineage: Bacteria
Description: partial 16S ribosomal RNA
Rfam family: Bacterial small subunit ribosomal RNA
Source: RNAcentral
UACAGAGGUCUCAAGCGUUGUUCGGAUUCAUUGGGCGUAAAGGGUGCGUAGGUGGCGCGCUAAGUCAGGUGUGAAAUCUCGGGGCUUAACUCCGAAACUGCAUUUGAUACUGGCGUGCUUGAGGACUGGAGAGGAGACUGGAAUUCAUGGUGUAGCAGUGAAAUGCGUAGAGAUCAUGAGGAACACCGGUGGCGAAGGCGGGUCUCUGGGCCGAUACUGACGCUGGAGGAGCGAAAGCGUGGGGAGCGAACAGG